Molecule: long non-coding RNA, 118 nt
Organism: Bombus impatiens (common eastern bumble bee)
Lineage: Eukaryota; Metazoa; Arthropoda; Insecta; Hymenoptera; Apidae
Exons: 4
Source: RefSeq, a predicted model, not a curated record
UGAAUAAUUGCUCUAUGUUGUUACGUUCCGGGACCUACCAUAAACCAUAACUCAUCCCUCGGUCAUACUUAUUCGGACCUCCAAUAAUCCUAAAGAACCGUUAUUAAAAUUUAGCAUU